Molecule: long non-coding RNA, 291 nt
Organism: Puntigrus tetrazona (Sumatra barb)
Lineage: Eukaryota; Metazoa; Chordata; Actinopteri; Cypriniformes; Cyprinidae
Exons: 3
Source: RefSeq, a predicted model, not a curated record
GUCCCUCCCUCACAUUCACUCAGCUUUGAGUCAGAGUUGCAGUUGUCCUCAGUGACAGCCGCAGCAGUUAGAGGAAGUGUUACAUAGUGUGCAGCUCUAAGUCUAACCGCUUGGCCAGCACAAGUUUUUAUACAUGUGGCAUAUGAUGUAGUCCACUGAUAGUCGCACAAGGACGAAAGUUUACCUCAUUAUGUAAGGACCAAGCCACAGCAUGGCAUCCUGGAGAAACUCUUGCAGUAUUAAUGCGGGGAUUCGGCAGCUGAAUAUGCUGCCAUUGAAUCUGAAAUCUAC